UCUCUCUCUCUCUCUCUCUCUCUCUCUCUCUCUCUCUCUUCCCCUUGGACUCAGCCGGGUCUCAUGGGGGGCGGAAGAGAUAAGAGGGAGAUUUAAAUAAAAAACCCUAGAGAUUAGUUUGCUGAUGGAAUAAUUGAAGGGGGUUUCUCUUUUGAGGGGAAUGUUGUCUGGCUCGAGGACUCUGCUCUUCUUCUCCAUGGCAUCGUUUCUCCGUUUUUUUACACCUAAUCGGAGAUUCGAUUCGAGAUCUGAUAAGGGCUUCAGCGUCGUCGGACCAGGCUUCAUUCCCCCCAAUUAUUUCUCCUUGUACCUUCUUCUGCCGCCUCGUUCUAGGGUUUCGAUCUGGGAAUCCAUAUGUAAAGGUUUGAACUUUAUCACUUUUCCUUUAUCGAAUUCGGAUUUUUUUGCCACUGAUUUUCAGGGUGGGAAAAAGAGGGCUUGUAUGGUGGGCGUUCGAGUUCUUUGGAGACCAAACAAAAAAAAAUCAGAUCUGAAUCAUUCCAAUGCAGAGCUGUUCUUCAACGCAAUCGAAGCUUAACAACGAGCAUAACAAACAAAGGGAGCCAAUUUAAGUGUAUUUGAAGAUAUUUUUGUGUAACAUGCUGUUCAUCACUAGCCAGCCCUUUAAGUGAAAUGAUCUGUACGAACCUUAUAGCGUAAUGUAUAAUAGCGUUUCGUUAGGGUUUUGGACUGAAUUAUGCUAUUCGAUUCAAUGAUAAAAAAUAUCGCGAUUCGUAACA
This is a long non-coding RNA of Tarenaya hassleriana, 740 nucleotides long. RefSeq lists it as uncharacterized. Lineage: Eukaryota; Viridiplantae; Streptophyta; Magnoliopsida; Brassicales; Cleomaceae. The transcript has 2 exons. The record is from RefSeq and is a predicted model, not a curated record.